RNAcentral lists this non-coding RNA (80 nucleotides) under Equus asinus (donkey). RNAcentral also lists the same sequence under 1 other name. The record is from Rfam by way of RNAcentral. Lineage: Eukaryota; Metazoa; Chordata; Mammalia; Perissodactyla; Equidae.
UUUUAUCUGGUAAGGUGGAUGAUAAGAGGUGUUGGGGCCAAAAUGAUCUUGGCCAAUUCUCAAACUUCAAAUGGAUAAGA